Myodes glareolus (Bank vole) is the source of this 289-nucleotide long non-coding RNA. RefSeq lists it as uncharacterized. NCBI's taxonomy places the organism in Eukaryota, Metazoa, Chordata, Mammalia, Rodentia, Cricetidae. The record is from RefSeq and is a predicted model, not a curated record.
UUGGCGGACUCGGAAGGCAGCGGGCGGGACGGAUGGCGCAGAUUGGUGUCAUGAAAGGGGCCGAGUCGAAAGGGGCGUAACCCAGAUGAGCGAUUGGCGGAGUGAGAAAAUGAAGGAGCCCUCACCCUCCCACUCCCACCUCCACCACAAGAUACUCACAUCUGUCUUCAUAUCAAUUUUGGCAGGUUUCAGAAUCAGGUCCUCCCGAACAAUGCUACUGGGGAAAUAGCCCAGGCGGGCAGCCGCGUCUCCAUAGUAAUCUCCCUGAACCUGGAGAAGAACUUGUAAG